This is a non-coding RNA of Trametes cinnabarina, 71 nucleotides long. The record is from Rfam. NCBI's taxonomy places the organism in Eukaryota, Fungi, Basidiomycota, Agaricomycetes, Polyporales, Polyporaceae.
ACAUUGAUGGGGUAGUCGUAACCUGUGUUGUUGCCAUCGACCCGCCGGGGGUUCGAUUCCCUCUUAAUGCU